UGGGGAAUAUUGCACAAUGGGCGCAAGCCUGAUGCAGCCAUGCCGCGUGUAUGAAGAAGGCCUUCGGGUUGUAAAGUACUUUCAGUCGGGAGGAAGGUGGUAAGGUUAAUAACCUUAACAAUUGACGUUACCGACAGAAGAAGCACCGGCUAACUCCGUGCCAGCAGCCGCGGUAAUACGGAGGGUGCAAGCGUUAAUCGGAAUUACUGGGCGUAAAGCGCACGCAGGCGGUUUGUUAAGUCAGAUGUGAAAUCCCCGGGCUCAACCUGGGAACUGCAUCUGAUACUGGCAAGCUUGAGUCUCGUAGAGGGGGGUAGAAUUCCAGGUGUAGCGGUGAAAUGCGUAGAGAUCUGGAGGAAUACCGGUGGCGAAGGCGGCCCCCUGGACGAAGACUGACGCUCAGGUGCGAAAGCGUGGGGAGCAAACAGG
RNAcentral lists this ribosomal RNA (429 nucleotides) under Chloroflexota bacterium. RNAcentral's name for it is "Chloroflexi bacterium partial 16S ribosomal RNA". It matches the Rfam family "Bacterial small subunit ribosomal RNA", at positions 355 to 776 of the family's 1533-position model. The record is from RNAcentral. Lineage: Bacteria; Bacillati; Chloroflexota.